RNAcentral lists this ribosomal RNA (1434 nucleotides) under Mammaliicoccus sciuri. RNAcentral describes it as "bacterial SSU rRNA". It matches the Rfam family "Bacterial small subunit ribosomal RNA". Lineage: Bacteria; Bacillati; Bacillota; Bacilli; Caryophanales; Staphylococcaceae. The record is from RNAcentral.
AAAUACAUGCAAGUCGAGCGAACAGAUGAGAAGCUUGCUUCUCUGAUGUUAGCGGCGGACGGGUGAGUAACACGUGGGUAACCUACCUAUAAGACUGGGAUAACUCCGGGAAACCGGGGCUAAUACCGGAUAAUAUUUUGAACCGCAUGGUUCAAUAGUGAAAGACGGUUUCGGCUGUCACUUAUAGAUGGACCCGCGCCGUAUUAGCUAGUUGGUAAGGUAACGGCUUACCAAGGCGACGAUACGUAGCCGACCUGAGAGGGUGAUCGGCCACACUGGAACUGAGACACGGUCCAGACUCCUACGGGAGGCAGCAGUAGGGAAUCUUCCGCAAUGGGCGAAAGCCUGACGGAGCAACGCCGCGUGAGUGAUGAAGGUCUUCGGAUCGUAAAACUCUGUUGUUAGGGAAGAACAAAUUUGUUAGUAACUGAACAAGUCUUGACGGUACCUAACCAGAAAGCCACGGCUAACUACGUGCCAGCAGCCGCGGUAAUACGUAGGUGGCAAGCGUUAUCCGGAAUUAUUGGGCGUAAAGCGCGCGUAGGCGGUUUCUUAAGUCUGAUGUGAAAGCCCACGGCUCAACCGUGGAGGGUCAUUGGAAACUGGGAAACUUGAGUGCAGAAGAGGAGAGUGGAAUUCCAUGUGUAGCGGUGAAAUGCGCAGAGAUAUGGAGGAACACCAGUGGCGAAGGCGGCUCUCUGGUCUGUAACUGACGCUGAUGUGCGAAAGCGUGGGGAUCAAACAGGAUUAGAUACCCUGGUAGUCCACGCCGUAAACGAUGAGUGCUAAGUGUUAGGGGGUUUCCGCCCCUUAGUGCUGCAGCUAACGCAUUAAGCACUCCGCCUGGGGAGUACGACCGCAAGGUUGAAACUCAAAGGAAUUGACGGGGACCCGCACAAGCGGUGGAGCAUGUGGUUUAAUUCGAAGCAACGCGAAGAACCUUACCAAAUCUUGACAUCCUUUGACCGCUCUAGAGAUAGAGUCUUCCCCUUCGGGGGACAAAGUGACAGGUGGUGCAUGGUUGUCGUCAGCUCGUGUCGUGAGAUGUUGGGUUAAGUCCCGCAACGAGCGCAACCCUUAAGCUUAGUUGCCAUCAUUAAGUUGGGCACUCUAGGUUGACUGCCGGUGACAACCGGAGAAAGGUGGGGAUGACGUCAAAUCAUCAUGCCCCUUAUGAUUUGGGCUACACACGUGCUACAAUGGAUAAUACAAAGGGCAGCGAAUCCGCGAGGCCAAGCAAAUCCCAUAAAAUUAUUCUCAGUUCGGAUUGUAGUCUGCAACUCGACUACAUGAAGCUGGAAUCGCUAGUAAUCGUAGAUCAGCAUGCUACGGUGAAUACGUUCCCGGGUCUUGUACACACCGCCCGUCACACCACGAGAGUUUGUAACACCCGAAGCCGGUGGAGUAACCUUUUAGGAGCUAGCCGUCGCUUUU